Molecule: long non-coding RNA, 1732 nt
Filed under: Numida meleagris (helmeted guineafowl)
Lineage: Eukaryota; Metazoa; Chordata; Aves; Galliformes; Numididae
Description: lncRNA (ENSNMEG00000018263.1)
Source: RNAcentral
UACCAUCUCUAGUGCUCAGUUCUGCAGUGUGCAGAUCUUCUGUGUCCCCAUGGCCCUGAUGUUAACCAAGUACCCUCCAGAUCCCAGGUAAGCUCUUCUCUUCUGGGGGCUCACCGGCUUGAGGAUAUUCAGCAGAAAUCCUGGUAGGCAAAGUUGGGUGCACAAGUAGCUCUGGGUAUGCAAGUGCAAAAUGUUACAGAAUCAAGGCAGAAAGGAAAAAAAUAAUUUCUUGUGCUCUAAUUUCACUUAAUGAGAAACCAUUCACAUUUUACAAUUUCUGAUCUGUAUCUUUCUAUUCCUAUUCUAAUGGUAAUUAUUAACAGAGAAAUCAUUUGAUGGCUUUCACAUACCCCCAUACUUCAAGUAUCUAACAACCUAUUGAUUCGAUAGCUGGGCAGCAUUCCCAAUUGAGGAGCUGCAGUUUGAUUUUUUUUUUUUUUUUUAAACACUUUGAUCAUCUCGCAUGCGAAGGAUAAUUAUUUUUGUGGUUGAAACAAGGGAUGGAUUGCAGAUCAAUGGAGUCUGGAGUAUGCUCCUGUGUGCAAUCCCCAGUCGGAACAAGUGGUGUCUGCAUCUUCUCAUAGAAAGAUCUUGAAAAAUUACCCGUGGGUUGGAUUUCUGAUCACUACUGUCAGCUAUGGAAAGGUGUAACAUGCAGGUGAUCACAGAAGUGAUCUGACAAAAGACAAUAGCAGUAUUUGAUGCUAUGACCAUAUCUUUAUUUUUCCUGACUACUGUACAUACUGGUGCAGAAAACUUGGAUGCUGCAAGAGGUCCUGGAGGACUCCAACGAGUGCUGAGUGAGUCUGCAGUGGUGCACAGAUCCAGCUGUGGUCCUCCCCCUGCAGAACAUCAUGGGCUCUUCUAGAGGAGAGGAGUAUGAUGGACAAGGGAGAUUUGCUCUAAACAGAAAGGCUCUGGCACUUCAUGCUUUCCCUAGGACAAGGCUUGAGAAUGAUCACCCACUGGCUGCCCCUACACAUGAAGGUAACAAAAUGUUUGCUAUGUAUUAUGUUCUUAUAGGUGUUUCCAUUCCCUCAAAGACUAUGUAAAAUGUCACUUGUUGGGUAAUAUAUGAAAUGUAUCUGAUGAAAUGGCAGAACAAAUCUGUGGUGAGCAUGUAUUUCUCACAAACCUGGCCAGUGAAACAUUUCUUGUUGGGUUAACUCUCUCCAAGGACUUGUGUUGACUUCACCGGUUGGAAGUUCAGAUACAUCCACCUAAAUUUCUGCACUUAAGAUCUCGUUUAGUGACUUCUUGUUUCUGCCCUUAAAAUAGAAUUACAGAAGAAAAAUCCUUUAGUUCCACUACAAGAUAUCAUAUUCAGUGGCAACGUAUGAACAGUGGGUGAUUUUGGACUAGGAAACAGUGGUCUUUGUUUGUAAUCUACAUUCUCAGGCCUGAUGGAGCUCAGGUUGCCACUAAUGGUGGGACUGUGAAUGAUGCAUUGGUCCUAAACAUCCAGUUGGAGGAACAGUGAGCCUGGAUCAUCUCAGGAGAACCCAAAAGGGAGCAAGAAGGGACACCUCAUUGUCUCAAGGCCUUUGUGAUAUCUCCACCUCAUGGGAAUUACAGCUUGUCCUAUACCUCUGCUCUGCCCGUUAAAUUUGGGGAACCGUGAACCAUCAGGGGAAUUCUAACUGAGCAGGGGUUGUAAAGGGGUGUCUCUCCCUUGAUAUCUUGCCAAGUUCACCUCCCAGGCUUCCUUCCAUUUUUCAUGCUGCUGACAAAG